GAUGAACGCUGGCGGCGUGCCUAAUACAUGCAAGUCGAGCGAACAGACGAGGAGCUUGCUCCUCUGACGUUAGCGGCGGACGGGUGAGUAACACGUGGAUAACCUACCUAUAAGACUGGGAUAACUUCGGGAAACCGGAGCUAAUACCGGAUAAUAUAUUGAACCGCAUGGUUCAAUAGUGAAAGACGGUUUUGCUGACACUUAUAGAUGGAUCCGCGCCGCAUUAGCUAGUUGGUAAGGUAACGGCUUACCAAGGCAACGAUGCGUAGCCGACCUGAGAGGGUGAUCGGCCACACUGGAACUGAGAAACGGUCCAGACUCCUACGGGAGGCAGCAGUAGGGAAUCUUCCGCAAUGGGCGAAAGCUUGACGGAGCAACGCCGCGUGAGUGAUGAAGGUCUUCGGAUCGUAAAACUCUGUUAUUAGGGAAGAACAAAUGUGUAAGUAACUAUGCACGUAUUGACGGUACCUAAUCAGAAAGCCACGGCUAACUACGUG
Molecule: ribosomal RNA, 497 nt
Filed under: uncultured bacterium
Lineage: Bacteria
Description: partial 16S ribosomal RNA
Rfam family: Bacterial small subunit ribosomal RNA
Source: RNAcentral